CUAACCGCGAGCGUUAUGUCAGUCUUUGAUCGCCUUCGCGUUGUGACUUGAAAACAUUGCGACGAAAUGUCAAACCAGGUAAAUACACCGCGGGGUUUGCAAGUGAUAUUGGAACGCAGCUAAACGGGAAACACAAUGACGAUGCGUGCGAAAUGCAGACGAGAGAAGCUUAGGACCGCACGGAGUUUCAAUGUACUACGAAGAUUUAACUUGAACGAAUUCGUUUUGAGAACUGCGGAAGGCACCAUUUGUCAUUUGCAUUAGUCUCGUCGCUUCCAUUCAUAAAAAUUGAAUUUAAGCCGGAGGUAUGCGCACUCUUAGUAGCAUUUAAUUGUAUGAUUUUUAUAACAUAAAAUAUGCACACAAGUCGAUUGUCCGCGGACAAAAUCAAGGCAUUGCACAUUUUGUAUUUAUAAUUAAAUGUUAUUAAGAUUGCACAUACCUCCGACCGACGGGACUAGUUCAAGUGACAUUAACAAUUAGCACCUGCAACGCAAAUAGUACCUUCCGCAGUUCUCAAAACGAAUUCAUUCAAAUUAAUUACAUUCAAAAGUAACAGUCGAAAACGAAAAGCGCCAAUAUAUUGCAAAUAACGUGAACUGUCAAUAAACUAUUAUCUGUGACCCA
This is a long non-coding RNA of Hermetia illucens (black soldier fly), 627 nucleotides long. RefSeq lists it as uncharacterized. The transcript has 2 exons. The record is from RefSeq and is a predicted model, not a curated record. Lineage: Eukaryota; Metazoa; Arthropoda; Insecta; Diptera; Stratiomyidae.